GGGGGGCGUCCCGGGGCUUCCUUCACGGGGGCCCCGGUCGGCGCCCUCCGGGGCCGAUCCUCGACAGACCGUCGCCGCCGGUGUCUCUUCCCACACCAAAGCGGGGCCAAUACGGGAGCGGCGCGGGGUGAGACCCUUUCCCCCGUCGUCCGACUCCCGGCCCCGUGGGUACCCGGCGAGCGCGGCAGUCCGGCGGUCCCUCCCCUCUCGGGGGGAGGAGGCCUCCGCCUGUACGCAGGGGGGCGCAGGCCCGGGACUUGCCAUUAGACGCCGUCGCGCAAAUCUGUUGUUGGCCUCGCCGGCUCUGCUUGGGCUCUCGGUUGGCGGGCCGCGCGUCAGGCGGGCUUUAGGGCGGGGGCAUCCCCGUCCGGGUCCGUCCCGCGCGGUUUUGCCUUCCGAUCCUGCUCUGUCCGGAGUGGCCUAGCGCGCGUGCUGUCGGCAAGUACCAUGAGCAGACAUGUUGGGACCCGAAAGAUGGUGAACUAUGCCUGGCCAGGAUGAAGCCAGAGGAAACUCUGGUGGAGGUCCGCAGCAAUUCUGACGUGCAAAU
RNAcentral lists this ribosomal RNA (550 nucleotides) under Potamon algeriense. RNAcentral describes it as "partial large subunit ribosomal RNA". The stretch from base 465 to 550 matches the Rfam family "Eukaryotic large subunit ribosomal RNA", at positions 813 to 898 of the family's 3401-position model. RNAcentral also lists the same sequence under 2 other names. Lineage: Eukaryota; Metazoa; Arthropoda; Malacostraca; Decapoda; Potamidae. The record is from RNAcentral.